UUGUUGGUAAGGUAAAAGCUUACCAAGGCUUCGAUCAGUAGCUGGUCUGAGAGGACGACCAGCCACACUGGGACUGAGACACGGCCCAGACUCCUACGGGAGGCAGCAGUGGGGAAUUUUGGACAAUGGGGGCAACCCUGAUCCAGCCAUGCCGCGUGAGUGAAGAAGGCCUUCGGGUUGUAAAGCUCUGUCAGCCGGAACGAAACGGUUACGGAUAAUACCCGUGACUACUGACGGUACCGGAAGAAGAAGCACCGGCUAACUACGUGCCAGCAGCCGCGGUAAUACGUAGGGUGCAAGCGUUAAUCGGAAUUACUGGGCGUAAAGCGUGCGCAGGUGGUUUUGUAAGUCAGAUGUGAAAGCCCCGGGCUCAACCUGGGAACUGCGUUUGAAACUACAAGACUAGAGUGUGGCAGAGGGGGGUGGAAUUCCGCGUGUAGCAGUGAAAUGCGUAGAGAUGUGGAGGAACACCGAUGGCGAAGGCAGCCCCCUGGGUUAACACUGACACUCAGGCACGAAAGCAUGGGGAGCAAACAGGAUUAGAUACCCUGGUAGUCCAUGCCCUAAACGAUGUCAACUAGUUGUCGGGCCUUUACGGGCUUGGUAACGUAGCUAACGCGUGAAGUUGACCGCCUGGGGAGUACGAUCGCAAGAUUAAAACUCAAAUGAAUUGACGGGGACCCGCACAAGCGGUGGAUUAUGUGGAUUAAUUCGAUGCAACGCGAAAAACCUUACCUACCCUUGACAUGUAUCGAAGCCCGCAGAAAAGCGGGGGUGCCCGAAAGGGAACGAUAACACAGGUGCUGCAUGGCUGUCGUCAGCUCGUGUCGUGAGAUGUUGGGUUAAGUCCCGCAACGAGCGCAACCCUUGUCAUUAAUUGCCAUCAUUUAGUUGGGCACUUUAAUGAGACUGCCGG
This 916-nucleotide ribosomal RNA is filed under the name uncultured bacterium. RNAcentral describes it as "bacterial SSU rRNA". It matches the Rfam family "Bacterial small subunit ribosomal RNA", at positions 246 to 1155 of the family's 1533-position model. The record is from RNAcentral.